Pimephales promelas (fathead minnow) is the source of this 200-nucleotide non-coding RNA. The record is from RefSeq and is a predicted model, not a curated record. Lineage: Eukaryota; Metazoa; Chordata; Actinopteri; Cypriniformes; Leuciscidae.
GUUGUUCAUGAAAGUUGUAAAGAAGGUACAUGUGAAGUUACAGAAGCUCUGCUUAGUCACAUUGGCAAACUGGCCUCCGAUCCCCAAAUAAACAUCAUGAUCCAGAAAGAGGCAGCAAGGAAACUCAACGCUAUUCUGGCAAAGAUUCCCAUGGAGCUGAAAAAGAAGAAGACGAUCUUGUCAUCUCAAGAGGGCUCGUG